AUAAAUAUUUAUAUUUUUUUCCUCUGUUUAGAUUCAACGGUCGAGGAUUUUACGAAAACAAAGGAAGCAACGUUAGAAUUCCUUUUAACCAAAAAAACGAAACCUUUUCUUUUGGCUCGAAUAGGGUUCUUCUAGAAGCAGCUGGAGCUUGAUUCCCGCCACUCAGAAAGUGAUGGCUGAACUGAGGCUGGAGGAACGUUGUCUUUACAAGAAGCAAUUAACUACCGCUUCAAGUUCUUCUGUAUCCGAAGGCGGUGGCAAUGCAGUUGUAAAGUCCCCAGGCGUAUCUAGUCCAGCACCAACAUCACCAAAUCAUCGGAGAACUACUGGCCCUAUUAGGCGAGCAAAAGGUGGCUGGACACCGGAAGAGGAUGAGACGUUAAGAAAUGCUGUUGCUGCUUUUAAGGGGAAGAGUUGGAAAAAAAUAGCUGAAUUUUUUCCAGAUAGAUCAGAAGUGCAAUGUCUUCAUAGAUGGCAGAAAGUCCUAAACCCCGAUCUUGUUAAAGGACCUUGGACUCAAAAGGAGGAUGAUAAAAUUAUUGAGCUUGUAUCAAAAUAUGGGCCGACAAAAUGGUCUGUUAUUGCAAAAUCUUUGCCUGGACGAAUAGGGAAACAAUGCCGUGAGAGAUGGCACAAUCAUCUGAAUCCUGAUAUAAAGAAGGAUGCUUGGACGAUGGAGGAGGAAUUGGCCCUUAUGAAUGCACACCGGACAUAUGGGAACAAGUGGGCUGAAAUUGCAAAAGUUUUACCUGGAAGAACUGAUAAUGCAAUAAAGAAUCACUGGAAUAGUUCUUUGAAGAAGAAGUUAGAUUUCUAUUUGGCUACAGGGAAGCUUCCACCAGUUUCGAAGAAUGGUCUUCAAAAUGUGACCAAGGAUAUAAGAACACCUACUACCCAAAAUUUUCUAGUUUGUUUGAAAAAAGAAUCAGGUUCAACUGCUCAAACUUCCUCAGGAACUACAGAUACUUGUAAGCUGGAGGAAGAUGGAAAAGAUCAGUUGGAGUCCUCUGCUCCAGUUCAAGAUAUGACUGCUUCUACAAACUUUAUUCCAGAAGAGCCUACUGAUACUGAGAGUACAGAGUGCAAGCUGCAGUCAGUUGAUAUAAAUCUCUGCUGCUGUACCUCUGAGUCAGGGGGGAAGUUUGGGAGUCACAGAAUCAGUUCUCAAGUUGUCGAAGACAAAGUUCUCAAGGAACAAGUUGGGCUUGAUACUCCAACUUAUUGUUCUCUAUGUUGUGAUGAAUCACCUAGAUCACAGCAUGAAUGGACUUCUACUCCUAUUACAUCACCGAUUAGUUUCUUCACUCCGCCUUGUGUGAAGGGCAGUGGUUUAAGCAUACACAGUCCUGAGUAUAUUCUUAGAAUUGCCGCUAAAAGCUUCCUGAAUACACCUUCCAUAUUUCGAAAGAGAAAGAUGGGAGCCCAAGUGCUUACACUUCCUAACAAGAAAGGAAAAUUGAAUGAGGAAAUAGGUAAGGAUGGGAUUCAAUUAUCAGGUGAACAGGAAAGAACUGAAAACAGUUCGGAACAGGCUCAAUUUUGUGAUGGAGAUCCCUGUGAGAGUCCUGCUUGUCAAGGUGAUAGCCCAACGCUGCCUAAUUCUACAGUGUUUAAUGUAUCUCCUCCGUACCGGUUAAGAUCUAACAGAACUGCUGUUUUGAAGUCUGUGGAAAGACAACUUGAGUUAACAUUCGAUAAAGAGGCAUGAAGGUAAGACAAAAUCUUCAGAUUUAUGUUUGAAUGGUAGCUCUGCUGUUGAAGAUUGCUUGAAUGCGAUGAGGAUGGGGGUCACAUAGUUCUCAAACUGAUGAGGCAAAUAUUCUGUUGAUGCUGGCUUUCGUUUCCCGAGCAAUGGCAUCCAAAUCAGCACUUGUCCCGGCAGACUUACAAAACUUACAAAGUCGUAAUAUUCUUUAUCAGGGGCACCUUCAAUGCCAUCUCUCAAUCAUAUUGCAGAUAUGGUAAUUGACACCAUUGAUGACAUCAAGACGAACAUCAACACGAUCAUGGCCCUGAUCCUAUGGCUGCAGAUUUCCAGCCUUUGCCUUUUUGAAGAAUAUUGACUCGCUAUUUUGUACAUUGACUCCAAUAGGGAUGUUUUAUAAGCUGAGAUAAAGGUGAGAGAGUUUGGGAGGGUUUUGGAAAUCUCUCUUUUCCCUACAUUUGAAUACAAAAUUGACAAUACUUUCCUCAAUACCUGCAAGUUGGUUCUCUCUUUGCCUAAUCAUCAUUUCAGCUAGAGAUGUCAUCAAUUCAAUGAGUACGGCCAAUUAAGAUUUUUCAAUUUUCAAGUUAUUUCUGUUCGGAUCAAACGUUUUAGGUUUGUCAUCAGUUCCGAGUUUGACUUGUUUUGGUUGAAAUAAUUUUAAGUCAUUUGAAUAUGAAAUUAAGUUUAUUUUUAUCAUAA
RNA transcript from Gossypium arboreum, 2407 nucleotides. It is a transcript of the gene named transcription factor MYB3R-3-like, with no coding region annotated. The transcript has 9 exons. NCBI's taxonomy places the organism in Eukaryota, Viridiplantae, Streptophyta, Magnoliopsida, Malvales, Malvaceae. The record is from RefSeq and is a predicted model, not a curated record.